Molecule: long non-coding RNA, 2167 nt
Organism: Gymnodraco acuticeps
Lineage: Eukaryota; Metazoa; Chordata; Actinopteri; Perciformes; Bathydraconidae
Exons: 4
Source: RefSeq, a predicted model, not a curated record
UAUAUUACAGAAAUACCCAAAAAUGAUUUUGUGUAAAUAAAGUAGUUUUCAUAGUAUACUAAAAUAGUUAACUGUAAAAAAAAAAGUGUCAAAUAAAAAAAAAUUAAAAUGUAUGUAAAAAGCUACGGCACUUUAAAUGGAAUCCAGCCAUACAACGGCAGACAAGACAAGCAGGAUUGGAAUGAGUCCACAACACUCCUGAUUGGUUGAUAUAAACGUCAUCGAAAAAACCUGCCAAUGAGCACUGUCCGCGCCUUUCAAUCCAAUUUGAAACUUCCACGUCAGUUUGAGCGGCUCUCCUGCGUAGCUACAGCUGUCUGUAUGUCUGCUCACGAGUUUAUGGACUAAUAUCGGGAUAGUUUUAUAUCUACACGUUAAAUAUGAGCAUCGGGACGUCAACAGAGAACAGAAGACUUGAGAUCUGAUCUGCAUGGGAGACGAUGGCGCGAUGCAGAGCGCUGUCUGUGAUUGUGCACGAGGGAUGUACAAAUGCAGCCACGCUGCAGCAUUGGCAAUAUUUGCCAUGUGGCAGAUCAGCUCCACAGAUGUUGAGUGCCAGUGGAGGAAUCCUGGCACUUCCAAAGUAGUCCAGCCGGUGUCUCAACUCUAUCAACAGCAAGAGGAGACAUACAACCCACUGGCCAGAGACAUCGCCACUCAGGAUGUAGACUGGUUCAGGUCUGCACUGAGGGGCACACAGUGUGGCAUGGCAUGGCUUUUAUCACCUGAGCCAGAGCCGCAGCCUCAACAUCAGGCCAUUGUCACCGUGCCGGAGCUGGUGAAGGAGCAUGGGGGUCGGGGGCUUGAGGCAAUUCUUGCCUCAUUGCGACUGACAAGAGACCAGCAAGCUGCCAUCCAGACAGCCACCGUAGGACAGCGGACAAAUCCCCAGUGGCAGUUACACAGACAGGGCAGGUUGACAGCCAGCAAUUUUGGUGCUGUGCUGAGGUCGGGACUUUCAUCCACUCCAUGCGCGUCCCUCAUGAAGAGGGUGCUUGGGGGUUACAAUUUAGACGGAGUCAUGGCUGUCAACUGGGGAGUUGUAAAUGAGGCCGAAGGGGUGAAGGCUUUUGUGCAGGCCUAUCGGGUGACAGUGAUCGACGCUGGUCUCUUUGUGAGUGAGUCGGGUGUUUUGGGAGCAUCACCCGAUGGACUUGUGCAGCCAUCUGCCCUGCUGGAGGUGAAGUGUCCACACAGCCAGAGGAACAUGACCAUCGCGGAGGCAGUCUAGUUAUCAUCCUUCUGUCUCCGUGAGGAGGGUGGGUCUUAUGUUCUCAAGGAGAAUCACCCAUACUGGCACCAGGUCCAAGGGCAGCUGCACAUCACAGACCGGAGUAUCUGCUAUUUUGUUGUGUGGACCACGAAGGAGGCGAUCAUCAUCCCCAUCCCCAAAGACCCUGCAUGGCAUGGAAAUCUCCUCCUCCUGGAGAACUUCUACACUCAGCAUAUAUCAUUGCUGAAGAAUGAAUCAGUCCGUCAAAAGAUGAUUGCUCGCCUGGCUCUGGUAGGAGGCGCCAAUUCAGAGAACCUGAUCAGACGGAUGCUGGCAACUGCUCUGACUAACGCCUUGGCCUGUCAGUACAACUGGGCUUGGAAGAAGCCAUUCAAGGAAACGGCAAUACAAGACUGCAUAUUUGCUGCUGCUCGGCAGUUCGACCGCAAGCUGACCCACAAUGGCUUCAGUGAAACUGUGAAGAAGUGGCUUCGUUAUGCUCCAGAGCGCGAGGGAGGCAUCCCAAGGAACACAAGUGAAACGAACACAAGUGAAACAAACGCAAGCCCAACUUAGGGUACCCCACCACACUCUAAUGUGUUUUCCUUGUGCAUACAGUACAAAGGUUACCGCCUCACAGACAAUACUGUUCUUUCAUGGACAAUAGACUGUUGUUCUUACAGUCAAAAAUAAGUCAAAUGUUUACAGCUUCGCCUUCAUGGAAGACUUGAAGCUUCAGGCUGUUCUUGUUUGGAGUUGCACCAAUGGUUCUUACACACCCUCUUUUUUUUGAUGAGGGUAUCUUGUGUAACUGUAUAUUUGCACAUGCGAUGUGUCCUCUGCAUUUAUUCCACAGCGUUUGGGGAGCAAUAACGGGUUAAGAGUCUUGCUCAGGGACGCAUUGCUGCCUGUUUUCUAAAAUAAAUUUGAAUAUUAAAAUCAUGUUUUCUGUCA